UAAAAGAUAAGCUAAUACUAAGCUAAUGGGCUCAUACCCCGCAAAUGAAAGUAUAAUCUUUCUCUUUUUA
This 70-nucleotide transfer RNA is filed under the name Cristarma eulimene. RNAcentral's name for it is "Chiromantes eulimene tRNA-Met". The record is from RNAcentral. Lineage: Eukaryota; Metazoa; Arthropoda; Malacostraca; Decapoda; Sesarmidae.